RNAcentral lists this microRNA precursor (57 nucleotides) under Tribolium castaneum (red flour beetle). RNAcentral describes it as "Tca-Mir-193-P1_pre stem-loop". Lineage: Eukaryota; Metazoa; Arthropoda; Insecta; Coleoptera; Tenebrionidae. The record is from RNAcentral.
UGGGCCUUAUAGGUUCAGUUGAUCAUUUUUAAAGCUACUGGCCUGUUAAGUCCCAAG